AAUGAACGCUGGCGGCGUGCCUAAUACAUGCAAGUCGAGCGGAUGGACGGAGAGCUUUCUUCGAUGCAGUUACGGGCGGGCGGGUAAGUAAUACGUAGCUAACUUAUCUUUGAGACUGGCAUACCUAAGCGAACCCUGAGACCACACAGGACAAUAUUUUGAAACGGAUGGAUCAUCGGUCAUAGACGGUUUUGCUGUCACUAAUUGCUGGAUCCGAGCUGCAUUAGCUAGUUGGUACGGUAACGGCUUACCAAGGCAACGAUGCAUAGCCGACCUGAGAGGGUGAUCGGCCACACUGGAACUGAGACACGGUCCAGACUCCUACGGGAGGCAGCAGUAGGGAAUCUUCCGCAAUGGGCGAAAGCCUGACGGAGCAACGCCGCGUGAGUGAUGAAGGUCUUCGGAUCGUAAAACUCUGUUAUUAGGGAAGAACAUAUGUGUAAGUAACUGUGCACAUCUUGACGUUACCUAAUCAGAAAGCCACGGCUAACUACGUG
This 497-nucleotide ribosomal RNA is filed under the name uncultured bacterium. RNAcentral describes it as "partial 16S ribosomal RNA". It matches the Rfam family "Bacterial small subunit ribosomal RNA", at positions 29 to 507 of the family's 1533-position model. The record is from RNAcentral.